Molecule: non-coding RNA, 53 nt
Submitted as: unclassified sequences
Source: Rfam
CCCUGACAGCUACAUGGUGUGGCUGACACUAGCCAAGACAGGAGAUACCCAUG